Long non-coding RNA from Anthonomus grandis grandis, 435 nucleotides. RefSeq lists it as uncharacterized. The record is from RefSeq and is a predicted model, not a curated record. Lineage: Eukaryota; Metazoa; Arthropoda; Insecta; Coleoptera; Curculionidae. The transcript has 2 exons.
UAUAAAUACUGAUAUUAAAUAUGUACUCACAUACUACUUAUAGUCUCUGUGUGUAACAGGUGCCUAAAAAGCUUAUAGCAAUAUGUUCAAAUAUUUAAUAAUAUUAUUUUUGGCUUUGGCUAUAAGCCACUAUACCUUUGCUGAACCCGAUGGUACUUGUCCUGAAGAGGACCCUACCGAAGGUCCAGCAAUAUAUCUUGCAGACAAGUCAAACUGUGCCGGAUACUAUGCAUGCGUAGCAGGAAAUCCCAUUCAGAUGUACUGCGCUCAAGGAUCCUAUUGGAAUCCCGAAGACAAUUAUUGUGAGAUUGGCGCUACACAUGCUAAUUGUGGAACAAGACCUACUACUCCUAAGGCUUAAACUGAUCAAUGAUGGUAUACAAUUAUUCAAAACAUUUUAUUAAUCAAUAAAAUUAAAGCUUUUAUUCUUUUGUA